GCUGCGGUUAAAGGCUCGCAGUUGAAUGUCAGUAUCAAGUACAGCGAUGGUGGACGUUGGGGUGUGGGAGUGUUCGGGCGUGCGUUUUCGAGAAGCCUCACGGUCUAUCGUGCGUGCGUUCGCCUCCCCAUUUAGCUCCCGUCCGUAACAAGCCUCCUUACUUGCGUACAAAGUGGAUCAAUCGGAACAUAUAUGUCUGGGCCACGUGUGUGUGUCACCCGCAAGGGUAUCGCGCGUGUCACCCGGGCAGUGAAAGUCGUGGGUCGAUUGUCACCUUGAGUAAAUCAGAGUGCUCAAAGCAGUCGUAAAGAACGUGCAGCUCCGCUGUACGCUCUGUGAGAAAUGUCAUUAUUGACAGACAGUCUUGAUUUUGCAUGGUAUGUCGGAAGACGCCGUACUUCCUGUUGGUAACGAGUCUGGUGCGGGCUUGCACACGAUCGCGCUUGCGUGUGACAGUGCAACAUCACGAGACCAACAGGUGCGGAAUGAUUAACAGGCACGGUCGAGGGCAUUGGUAUUGCGAGGCGAGAGGUGAAAUUCUAUGACCCCCGCAAGACCUCCUGAAGCGAAAGCGUCUGCCA
Molecule: ribosomal RNA, 581 nt
Filed under: Pleustes panoplus
Lineage: Eukaryota; Metazoa; Arthropoda; Malacostraca; Amphipoda; Pleustidae
Description: partial small subunit ribosomal RNA
Rfam family: Eukaryotic small subunit ribosomal RNA
Source: RNAcentral